This 612-nucleotide long non-coding RNA is filed under the name Physcomitrium patens. Its description in RNAcentral is "long non-coding RNA (PPAT_LNC014666)". Lineage: Eukaryota; Viridiplantae; Streptophyta; Bryopsida; Funariales; Funariaceae. The record is from RNAcentral.
UGUAAGAAUUGUUUUGAAAGGGUUUUGGAGGAAUUAGCAAUCAUUAUUCAAAGUCAAGGUUUGUAUCAAUGAUUUAGGUUUUAUAUAAUAUAAUUAGGACUAGCAAUUUUAGUUAGUUUGUGCAAUUGAUGUGACAUCCAUGGUUGAAAAUUUGAUAUUAUUUUGAUUAUUGGAUGUGCUAAGUUUAUGCAAAGUUUUGUGAUAAUCUAAUAGCGUGGUUUAGAGAUAUCUAAUUUUUAGCACAAGAGGAUUUCAGAAGGUGGCAGUUUGAGGUUGGAUAAGGUUUCUAUAAUAUCUGAAGAUCUAUUAGUUGGAUUAAGGUGAAAAUUUGCAUAGUGGUUGAAGACUUGAAGAUCAAGCUAUAUACCAAUUUUGAGAUAAAGUUAAUAGUUGGAAAGGGAGAAAACAUUGCAGGGAUUUUUACUUUACUUUUCAAGUUGGCGGCUAAGUGACAUUAGUGCAAUUUUUGGAGGUUAUCUCACAAUCUGUCAGUUGGAUUGGGAUAAAAAUUCUAAAGUAUAUAGAAGACUUAUAUAGACAAUUGCAUGAAAAAUUUCACAUCAAGUGGAUGGUUGGAUUGAAUGUUACAGCUUGUUAAAGCUCAUUGAUUAG